Non-coding RNA from Cyanistes caeruleus (blue tit), 1073 nucleotides. NCBI's taxonomy places the organism in Eukaryota, Metazoa, Chordata, Aves, Passeriformes, Paridae. The record is from RefSeq and is a predicted model, not a curated record.
ACUGGAAAGGGAUUCUGUGGGUGCUGGGGGGAACUGGUCAUGCUGAGGAUACUGGGAGUGGCACAUGGGAAACUGGGAACACUGGGGAGGACUGAGAGCCCGGGGAGUGACAGGGACCUGGGGGUUUUGGGACCCCAUUGGGUCGGGCUGGGGUGUGUGGGAGGGGUCUGGGCUGGGUUAGGGUAUCACUGUCACUAUCACUGUCCCCGUCACUGUCACUGUCCCCAUCACUGUCGGGUGACAGGUGAUGAUUGGCAGCUCUGAGCGCUUAGGCUGAAAAAUUCCUGUGGGAAAAGGAAAUUCCGGCAGUGGAAGAUGGAGGCCACAGCUCAUCCAGCCCAUCGCUCACCUGCUCAGGCCCCCAUGGCAGGGAAGAGCCACAGCCUGGGGAAAUUCGCAUGCGAGGAAGGAGACAGAACUAGCAAACUGGGCAUUUCAAGGGUUUAAAGCUGCAUUUCAGGGCACUUCUACCCACACCCCGGCACCAAAUAUUUCCAACGGGAGCAGGCCCAGCGGGUAUGUAACGUGAAGAGGCUCUUUCACCUUACUUCAGCCUGCUAAAAGCAGGCAUCUUUUGGGCAUUUGAAGCAGCAGAAGUUUUGAAGACACCUUGAAGAAAACAAUAUUGAAUACAGGGAGUAUUUAAGUUAAUGAUUCUGGGCUGGGGGUUCAGGGGCGAUAAGAUGCUUUUAUAAUGACUCUUCUUCAUGGCUUUUUUUUUAGGAGGAUUGCAAUUUCCAGAAGUUCUAGAUCACGUCAAGUGCGAUGUUUCUGAUUCUCUCAGCAGAUUCAUCGUAACACAAAGGGAACCGCCCCCACAGCAGCUUUCCUUAGCAGCAGAUCGGCCUCUCGCACGGAUUCGCUUCGGAGAGAUAAGUCGAGGGCUGUGGUCACAGAGGGGAUCAAAACAGGGCGGUGGGGUAGGAUUCACACCGGUUAGGGGUUUUGAGUCAUGCGGAGGGGAAGGUUUGAGAAAUGGCCUCUGGGGCCACAGUGAGGGAAAGGCUCACUUUAGCUAACAAUGCUGAGGUGGGCAGGGCAGAGCAGUCCCAGGGUGGGUUGUCACUUGUCUC